UCUGGCCUCAAAUUGUUUUUUAAAUUGCUGUGGUAUUUUGACUAUACAAAGGUAUUGUAAUAAGAUUUUAAUUGAAUGCUAAGAGAAUGGAACUUCAGGGAAUGACUUUUUUAAAUUUAAAAAUUAAAAUUAUUUUAAUUUGUGAAGAAACAAUUAUAUAAAUUAAAGACAAGAAGACCCUAAGAAUUUUUAAAUUUAUUUAACAAAAUUUUGUUAAAUAAAUUUUUAGUUGGGGCAACUAAAAAAUAUUAUUAACUUUUUUAAAAUAAAAUGACCCAUUAUUAAUGAUAACAUGAAAAAAAUACUCUAGGGAUAACAGCGUAAUAAUUUUUGAUAGAUCAUAUAGACAAAAUAGUUUGCGACCUCGAUGUUGGAUUAGGAUGCUUUUUUAAUGAAGAUGUUAAAAAAAGAAGUUGGUUCAACUAUCCGAUUCCUACUUGAUCUGAGUUCAGACCCGGA
This 459-nucleotide ribosomal RNA is filed under the name Dermacentor atrosignatus. Its description in RNAcentral is "partial large subunit ribosomal RNA". The record is from RNAcentral. Lineage: Eukaryota; Metazoa; Arthropoda; Arachnida; Ixodida; Ixodidae.